RNAcentral lists this ribosomal RNA (254 nucleotides) under uncultured bacterium. RNAcentral describes it as "partial 16S ribosomal RNA". It matches the Rfam family "Bacterial small subunit ribosomal RNA", at positions 524 to 776 of the family's 1533-position model. The record is from RNAcentral.
UACGGGGGGAGCAAGCGUUGUUCGGAUUUACUGGGCGUAAAGGGCGCGUAGGCGGCCUGUGCAAGUCAGUUGUGAAAUCUCCGGGCUUAACUCGGAACGGUCAACUGAUACUGCUCGGCUAGAGUGCGGAAGGGGCAACUGGAAUUCUUGGUGUAGCGGUGAAAUGCGUAGAUAUCAAGAGGAACACCUGCGGCGAAGGCGGGUUGCUGGGCCGACACUGACGCUGAGGAGCGAAAGCGUGGGGAGCGAACAGG